GACGAACGCUGGCGGCGUGCUUAACACAUGCAAGUCGAACGCUGAAGCUCAGCUUUUGUUGGGUGGAUGAGUGGCGAACGGGUGAGUAACACGUGAGUAACCUGCCCCCUUCUUUGGGAUAACGCCCGGAAACGGGUGCUAAUACUGGAUAUUCACUGGUCUCGCAUGGGGGGUGGUGGAAAGGGGUUUUCUGGGGGGGGAUGGGCUCGCGGCCUAUCAGCUUGUUGGUGGGGUGAUGGCCUACCAAGGCUUUGACGGGUAGCCGGCCUGAGAGGGUGACCGGUCACAUUGGGACUGAGAUACGGCCCAGACUCCUACGGGAGGCGGCAGUGGGGAAUAUUGCACAAUGGGCGCAAGCCUGAUGCAGCGACGCCGCGUGAGGGAUGGAGGCCUUCGGGUUGUGAACCUCUUUCGCUCAUGGUCAAGCCGCAACAAUGGUUGUGGUGAGGGUAGUGGGUAAAGAAGCGCCGGCUAACUACGUG
This 482-nucleotide ribosomal RNA is filed under the name uncultured bacterium. RNAcentral describes it as "partial 16S ribosomal RNA". It matches the Rfam family "Bacterial small subunit ribosomal RNA", at positions 28 to 507 of the family's 1533-position model. The record is from RNAcentral.